Long non-coding RNA from Numida meleagris (helmeted guineafowl), 562 nucleotides. RefSeq lists it as uncharacterized. The transcript has 3 exons. The record is from RefSeq and is a predicted model, not a curated record. NCBI's taxonomy places the organism in Eukaryota, Metazoa, Chordata, Aves, Galliformes, Numididae.
CGCAGCGCAGGGAUACCGGUGCGGGGCGCAUCACCGGACGUGCCCAUCCGCGCAACGGCACUAAUCCCCUCGCGCCCAACCAACGGCGCUUGGCUUCGGGGUUCCGCUCGGUAACUCCUCCGGUGGAGCAAAGUUGCUCCGUGCCUCUGUGCCACCGGGGCAGGAGGCGGACAGGAGCCGGGGGGGCGCGCAAGCCGCAGCGGAGCCAAUAGACGGGAACUCCUGAGGAAAAGCGCAGUGUGGAGGAUGUGACUGAGCUCUGCAGUGCUAGGGGUAAGAGGAAAGCUCUGCAGCGAACCGGAGGAGCUCUCGUUUAAUGUAACACUGACAUCGCCUGCUGAAAUUUUAAUGCUCUGAGGUGUUCCUUAGGUCAAAGCUGAGCCUGUUUUGAGCUGUGUUCAGGGAUGAGAACGCAGCAGAGAAGGAAAGAAAACCUUCGUCCUUUUACAUUUCUGAGCAAAUGACCAAUACAGACAGCAAUGUGUUUUUACAGCGUUUGGUGAUCUGGGUUUAAUAUUCUGUCAUUUAUCACGGCAGCCGAAUAAAGUACUGUGCACAAAUU